CCCUUAGAUGUCCUGGGCCGCACGCGCGCUACACUGAGUGUCUGAGAUACGAGUCUGCCUGGUCCGGCAAGGUCUAGGUAAUCGCUAAAAGACACAUCAUGCUUGGGAUAGAUUAUUGCAAAUAUUAAUCUUGAACGAGGAAUUCCUAGUAAGCGCAAGUCAACAGCUUGCGUUGAUUACGUCCCUGCCCUUUGUACACACCGCCCGUCGCUACUACUGAUUGGAUGUUUAAGCGAGGUUCUCGAACUGCUAGCGACUUAGCUUCGGUGAGGUCGCAGUGUGGGAAGUGAACCUAGCUUUGGUGUCUAGAGGAAGUAAAGGUCGUAACA
This 329-nucleotide ribosomal RNA is filed under the name uncultured eukaryote. RNAcentral describes it as "partial 18S ribosomal RNA". It matches the Rfam family "Eukaryotic small subunit ribosomal RNA", at positions 1470 to 1796 of the family's 1831-position model. The record is from RNAcentral.